AGUAUUGACUGGCACGCUUACAUAAGCCUCGUAGUCUGGCGUUGCGAUAAAUAAAGUGCACCAUGUACGGGCAGGGAUUGCUCGGAAGCGGAACCGGUGACAGAUUAUCCUCCGCUAAUUUCUGAACAUGUGAGCACCACAUCCUUUGUGGGCCUUGCUUUUUAACACACCCGCCGGAAGAAGCGUAUUGAUAGCAGCUAAUGCCCGAAUUGGUUGUCGAUACGCCGGGAUUCCGACCAGGGCCUGCUCCUGCAGGAUAAGCUCGAGUGCGGCGGAACAGGAAAUUCCUGCGGGUUUUUGCGUGGGAGUAACGGUGGCAAUUUAUAUAAAUUAUUUAAUUAGAGCAUACACGUCAUAAUGGGAAAGUGGGAUUGCUUCAUCGCCU
This is a non-coding RNA of Drosophila melanogaster (fruit fly), 385 nucleotides long. Lineage: Eukaryota; Metazoa; Arthropoda; Insecta; Diptera; Drosophilidae. The record is from Ensembl.